AGAAAGUUGUAUGUUUAUGUGGUGGUGGUGAAUGAUUAUGUAAGUUAAGGUUACAAGUCUGCUACUGUUUUUUUGUUGUGUGGAGAUGGUGGAUUUUUUACAUGGUGGUUGAGUGGUUCAAAGGAGAAAAGAGGGUUUGGGUGAGUUAGGGUUUAGGUUGAAAAGAGGGAGCUUGAAUGUGAUUUGGACAUAGGUUUUGUGGCUUUCAAGCUUGAAAAAUGAGUGGGGAUAGUGCUCUAUUUAUAGGGGAAGCAAAGGGGUUGAAGUGGGUGAAAGAAAAGGUCCCCUGGGUAAAAAACAUAGCUUUUUCUGUUGUCUGCACAGGUGUAAUCGGUUACCCUGAUUAGGGUAAUCGGUUACACAGUCCCAAAAUGGCCAAAAAAUCAGUUUUUGGUCUGGGUAAUCGGUUACCCUGAUUAGGGUAACCGGUUACCCAAUUUUUAUUUUUUUUUAGGAAUAAUGAAUGUAUGCAUGUGCAGUAGGGUCAUGGAUCAGAUUAAAAUUGUAUCGGGGUGGGGUGAAUUUUGGGGUAUGACAGUUGCC
This 543-nucleotide long non-coding RNA is filed under the name Lathyrus oleraceus (garden pea). RNAcentral describes it as "Pisum sativum (pea) long non-coding RNA (PSAT_LNC014194)". Lineage: Eukaryota; Viridiplantae; Streptophyta; Magnoliopsida; Fabales; Fabaceae. The record is from RNAcentral.